This 410-nucleotide long non-coding RNA is filed under the name Elaeis guineensis (African oil palm). Its description in RNAcentral is "long non-coding RNA (EGUI_LNC038636)". The record is from RNAcentral. Lineage: Eukaryota; Viridiplantae; Streptophyta; Magnoliopsida; Arecales; Arecaceae.
GAUGCAGGCUUGAAAUCACCAAUAGCAGAAGCAACAGUUCUCUAGAGCAUGCAGCCAUUUUGUGUAUUCUUAAAGACUAGAUGCCCUUGAUAGAUUUCCUUCUUGUAGAAUGUAAGUAAGAAGUAAACUAGAGAUUGUAGAGUUUGAUGAUGGAACGAGGUAGGGGGUUAAAGAAGAGGUUCUUGAUAGAUUUCCUUCCUGUGGUUAGAAGGAAACUAGAGAUUGUAGAGUUUGAUGACGGAAUGAGGUAGGAGAGCUAAAGAAGAGAUGACCUUGCUAGAUUUCCAAUUUGUGGGAUGUGAGACAGAAGGAAGCUAGAAGAUCGUAGUUUGAUGAUGGAAUGAGGUACGGGAGACAGGCUCUCAAUAUAUACAUCCAUCCAUCAUGACUUCAUGCAUGUUUUGAAGACC